CACGUAGGCGGCUCACCAAGCGUCCUGUGAAAUCCCUCGGCUUAACCGAGGAACUGCAGGGCGAACUGGUGGGCUUGAGGCAGGUAGGGGCGCGCGGAACUCUUGGUGGAGCGGUGGAAUGCGUAGAUAUCAAGAGGAACGCCGGUGGCGAAGGCGACGCGCUGGGCCUGUCCUGACGCUGAGGUGCGAAAGCCAGGGGAGCGAACAGGAUUAGAUACCCUGGUAGUCC
Molecule: ribosomal RNA, 229 nt
Filed under: uncultured bacterium
Lineage: Bacteria
Description: partial 16S ribosomal RNA
Rfam family: Bacterial small subunit ribosomal RNA
Source: RNAcentral